This is a long non-coding RNA of Uranotaenia lowii, 403 nucleotides long. RefSeq lists it as uncharacterized. The transcript is spliced from 3 exons. Lineage: Eukaryota; Metazoa; Arthropoda; Insecta; Diptera; Culicidae. The record is from RefSeq and is a predicted model, not a curated record.
AAUUGGAAAUUCGCACGCUAACUUUUGGCUACCCCUUAAAGGCGUAAAAUUGACCCGUUAUUGAGAACCCCCAUGAUCUGUCAAAUAACGGGUCAUUAUAUCGGAUCAAUAUUACCCCUUAUUUUGAAAGGCUCGAUUCCCUUCAAAAAGGGCAGUUUUAGAAGCGUUACAUUAAAAGCGUUGAAUUCGGCAUGAUGAGAGAUGUUGUGCACAGCAAAGUUCCGGACGAGCCAGGCAGACACAAAUAGAAUUUAACAGGAAAACACGCACCGAGGCGAUAUAAAAUUGAAGGAUGCAUCGUAAGAUAAAUUUAAUAUUCAAGCAGGGAAAUCGAGUAUUUCAAUCAUCUGUAAUUUAAAAAAAUUUAUUUAAGUGAAUCCAAAUUUCAAAAAAAUUAGCAUCU